RNAcentral lists this ribosomal RNA (440 nucleotides) under uncultured bacterium. RNAcentral describes it as "partial 16S ribosomal RNA". It matches the Rfam family "Bacterial small subunit ribosomal RNA", at positions 338 to 795 of the family's 1533-position model. The record is from RNAcentral.
CCUACGGGAGGCAGCAGUGGGGAAUAUUGCACAAUGGGGGAAACCCUGAUGCAGCGACGCCGCGUGAAGGAAGAAGUAUUUCGGUAUGUAAACUUCUAUCAGCAGGGAAGAAAAUGACGGUACCUGACUAAGAAGCCCCGGCUAACUACGUGCCAGCAGCCGCGGUAAUACGUAGGGGGCAAGCGUUAUCCGGAUUUACUGGGUGUAAAGGGAGCGUAGGCGGUGAUGCAAGUCAGAAGUGAAAGCCCGGAGCUCAACUGCGGGACUGCUUUUGAAACUGUAUGACUGGAUUGCAGGAGAGGUAAGUGGAAUUCCUAGUGUAGCGGUGAAAUGCGUAGAUAUUAGGAGGAACACCAGUGGCGAAGGCGGCUUACUGGACUGUAAAUGACGCUGAGGCUCGAAAGCGUGGGGAGCAAACAGGAUUAGAUACCCUGGUAGUC